This 1543-nucleotide long non-coding RNA is filed under the name Chinchilla lanigera (long-tailed chinchilla). RNAcentral describes it as "lncRNA (ENSCLAG00000023259.1)". The record is from RNAcentral. Lineage: Eukaryota; Metazoa; Chordata; Mammalia; Rodentia; Chinchillidae.
GGCUGGCCUUGAGCUCACUUUGUAACCCAGGCUGGUCUCGAACUUUCAACGAUCCUCCUGCCUCAGCCUCCCGAGUGCUGGGAUUACAGGCGUGCGGCUCCACGCCCAGCCUUACGCUAGAACUUGAGGCUGCGCCCCCAGAUUUAGAUUAAGCCCCAUAGUUCAAGGCCAGGCAACCAGAGUCCUUCCCGAAGCCUAAAGCAUCCCCCCAGCUGGCGAUAUAGCUCAGUGGUAUAAGCUCCUGCCUGGCAAGCACAAGAUCCUGAGUUCAGUUCCCGGCACCACAAAAAAAAAAAGCAUCCCCCCAACCCUGCCCUGUUGGAUCCCUCGCAAAACCGCUCUCGCCAGGGCGCACUCAGAGAUGGGCGGCAGCGCUGGGGGGCACCGUCCAGUCCUACGGAAGUCCACACAGCGACGUCCAGGAGGCUGGAGCUGUGGGGUCUCGGAGUCCCCCGACAGCGGGUGAAUGGAGGGGUCUAUGGCAGGAAGGGUGGGCUGGGGUUAGGGGAGAGGAGGGCUGUGACUCAGUUUCCCUCAUCUCCAAACCCCCAGGCCUAGAAGAGGAAGGGGAGGCGUACGAGGAGCCUGACAGUGAGGAGGGCUCCGAGUUCUACGAGAACGACUCCAACCUCGGGCAGGAUCAGCUCUCCCAGGAUGCCAGCGGCUAUGAGGACCCGGAGGACCGGCCCUUGGGUUCUGCAGAUGAGGACUCCUUCUCCAACGGGGACUCUUACGAGAACGCGGACGAAGAGCUGGCCCAGCCAGGAGCCAGGACAAUGGACUUCCUGAGUCCCCAUGGAUCUGCUUGGGACCCCAGCCGGGAGGCAGCCUCGCUCGCAGGGUCCCAGUCCUAUGAGGACAUGAGAGGGGUCCUGUACGCGGCCCCCCAGCUCCGCUCCCUUCAGCCUGGUCCCCAGCAUGAAGAAGAUGCUGACUCUUACGAGAACAUGGAGAACCCCGAUGAGCCAGGGCCAGCGUGGGGAGGAGCCGGCCACACCGGGGCCUGGAGCAGGUGACCCGUCCCAUCCCCGUGGAGACCGAGGGCGCCGAGACAGAGUUGUGCCGGGACAUUCAGCCACCGGCAGGGGCCCGGGAGUCUCCGGCGCGGUUCCACAGCCACAGCCACCUUCAGUUCCAGCAGAGCCUCUGCAAAGCUGAGGCCGCCCCAGGCAGAAGCCGUCUUCCCUGGAGACCCCCGCGCCCCUUCCCGCGGUGAGGACCUGUCCCACCCGCCGGGUGCGGCCCAACCAGAACUGGGAUAGUGACGUACGCCAGACGCUCGGCCUCCGCCCUCUGCGGAAACAGGCCUUGCUCCUCUGCGGGUGGGCCGGUCAGGUCGUCCUCAGAGAUGCCCCUCUUUCAGCUCCUCCAGCUGAAGCUCCUUCCCAUUUUUGUUACUUUCUGACUCUGUGUAAUAAAUCAGCCUCUGCCUCUCUGUGAUGUUUUUUUUUUUUGAAACCAGGAAUUGAACUCAUGACCUUGCACUUUCCAGGCAGGCACUGUGCCGCUGAGCUAUAUCCCCGGCUCUCUCAGGGAUGUUCUG